GUGCCAGCAGCCGCGGUAAUACGGAGGAUCCGAGCGUUAUCCGGAUUUAUUGGGUUUAAAGGGAGCGUAGGCGGAUGUUUAAGUCAGUUGUGAAAGUUUAAGGCUCAACCUUGAAAUUGCAGUUGAUACUGGACGUCUUGAGUGCAUUAAAUGUGGGCGGCAUUCGUGGUGUAGCGGUGAAAGACUGAGAUAUCACGAAGAAUUCCAAUUGCGAAGGCAGCUCACAGGA
This 229-nucleotide ribosomal RNA is filed under the name uncultured bacterium. Its description in RNAcentral is "partial 16S rRNA". It matches the Rfam family "Bacterial small subunit ribosomal RNA", at positions 505 to 733 of the family's 1533-position model. The record is from RNAcentral.